UACAAAAGAUUUACAAUGAAGUUUCAGCUACUUUACUCCCUCACAAUUUGUGUGUUAGCUUUUGUAGCAAGUAGUGAUGCAGCUAUAUCUCCGGAGAUUUAUUGGAAAAUAAAAUUGCCCAACACUAUAUGCCCAAAGUGAUCAGAGAUUUUCUUUCCCAAGCAGAGAAUGACGUUGGUGACACAAAGGAGAAAGUAUAUUAUGGUUUGCACCAACAUGGAAUUUGGGUUUUUAGUGCUGCUACUGAUGAAGAGAUUCAUAACCUAAAAAGGGAAACCCCAAAUACACAUCUUCGACAAGUAAUUGAAGAAAGUAUUAAUAGUGAUUUUCAAGAUAAUAAUUUCCUUUACAAACCUUUCUUCUUAGAAAACGACUUGGAAAAAGGAAACAUCAUCAAUUUUCCCUCUCUAAAAAAUAAAAACGAAGCACCCAUUUGGCCUAGACAAUUUGUUGAAUCGAUUCCCUUCUCAUCGAAAAAAAUUCCAGAAAUCCUAAAGCAUUUCUCAAUAAAUAGUUCAAAGGACGCUCAAACAAUCAAGGAAACAAUUAAAUUUUGUGAAGCGCCAACGAAGAAAGGACAAAAGCAAAAUUGUGCAACUUCUUUGGAGUCUAUGGUAGAUUUUGGGAUAUUCAUGCUUGGAACAAACAAUGUUAAGGUAAUUGCAACGGAAGUACAAGGGGAAAAUCAAAUGUUGUUGCAAAAAUACACUAUUGAAGAAGUUGAACAAAUAGGUGAGGGGGUUAACAUGGUAUGCCACAAACUUAACUACGCGUAUGCAGUACAUUUUUGUCAUGGUGGAGGAAGUACGAAGACAUUUAUGGUAUCGAUGAUUGGUGUUGAUGGAACAAAAGUUAAAGCAGUAUCGAUAUGUCACAAAGAUACAUCUCUUUGGAAUCCCAAAGGAUUGCCUUUUGUAGUGCUUAAUGUUAAGCCUGGAACUACGACAAUUUGUCAUUUCCUUCAAGAUGAUCAAAUCGCCUUUUUACCUUAUCAAGAGGCCUAACAAAAUGGCUAAAUUUAAAUCCUCAGAGGUGUAAUAAACUACAUGGUCCACAAAUAAAUUAUGACUACUUUUACUAAGAAUAUGUGUGUGCUAUUGCAACCUACUGCACCAGACAUAAGAAAUUGAAAUAAACUUUAUAAAAUUGUUUGGUAGCUAGUUAGAAUUAUAUAUAUACUAGUUCUGGACACGUGCAACGCACGUGCAUUCCAAAUUUUAAAAAUAAAACUAUUUACCAUUUA
Molecule: RNA transcript, 1243 nt
Organism: Solanum stenotomum
Lineage: Eukaryota; Viridiplantae; Streptophyta; Magnoliopsida; Solanales; Solanaceae
Gene name: BURP domain-containing protein 5-like
Exons: 3
Source: RefSeq, a predicted model, not a curated record